AAGACUAUACUUUCAGGGAUCAUUUCUAUAGUAUGUUACAAAUAUUUAUUAUAGGAUGGGGGGGGUGGCUCAGGCCACGUGGAGUCAGCCGACAAUGGC
This 99-nucleotide small nucleolar RNA is filed under the name Erinaceus europaeus (western European hedgehog). RNAcentral describes it as "Small nucleolar RNA U3". The stretch from base 1 to 41 matches the Rfam family "Small nucleolar RNA U3", at positions 1 to 41 of the family's 219-position model. The record is from Rfam by way of RNAcentral. Lineage: Eukaryota; Metazoa; Chordata; Mammalia; Eulipotyphla; Erinaceidae.